UCCUACGGGAGGCAGCAGUGGGGAAUAUUGCACAAUGGGCGCAAGCCUGAUGCAGCGACGCCGCGUGAGGGAUGACGGCCUUCGGGUUGUAAACCUCUUUCAGUAGGGAAGAAGCGUAAGUGACGGUACCUGCAGAAGAAGCGCCGGCUAACUACGUGCCAGCAGCCGCGGUAAUACGUAGGGCGCAAGCGUUAUCCGGAAUUAUUGGGCGUAAAGAGCUCGUAGGCGGUUUGUCGCGUCUGCCGUGAAAGUCCGGGGCUCAACUCCGGAUCUGCGGUGGGUACGGGCAGACUAGAGUGAUGUAGGGGAGACUGGAAUUCCUGGUGUAGCGGUGAAAUGCGCAGAUAUCAGGAGGAACACCGAUGGCGAAGGCAGGUCUCUGGGCAUUAACUGACGCUGAGGAGCGAAAGCAUGGGGAGCGAACAGGAUUAGAUACCCUGGUAGUCCAUGCCGUAAACGUUGGGCACUAGGUGUGGGGGACAUUCCACGUUUUCCGCGCCGUAGCUAACGCAUUAAGUGCCCCGCCUGGGGAGUACGGCCGCAAGGCUAAAACUCAAAGGAAUUGACGGCGGGCGGGGGCGGCGG
RNAcentral lists this ribosomal RNA (585 nucleotides) under bacterium SU3. RNAcentral describes it as "bacterial SSU rRNA". It matches the Rfam family "Bacterial small subunit ribosomal RNA", at positions 337 to 935 of the family's 1533-position model. The record is from RNAcentral.